GUGCCAGCAGCCGCGGUAAUACGUAGGAUCCAAGCGUUGUCCGGAUUUACUGGGUGUAAAGGGUGCGCAGGCGGACUUGUUAGUCAGAGGUGAAAUCUCUCAGCUUAACUGAGAAACUGCCUUUGAUACUGCAGGUCUUGAAUCCGGGAGAGAGUUGUGGAAUUCCGAGUGUAGCAGUGAAAUGUGUAGAUAUUCGGAAGAACGCCAGUGGCGAAGGCAGCAACUUGGCCCGGUAUUGACGCUCAGGCACGAAAGCAUGGGGAUCAAACAGGAUUAGAUACCCUGGUAGUCC
RNAcentral lists this ribosomal RNA (292 nucleotides) under uncultured bacterium. RNAcentral describes it as "partial 16S ribosomal RNA". It matches the Rfam family "Bacterial small subunit ribosomal RNA", at positions 505 to 796 of the family's 1533-position model. The record is from RNAcentral.